Molecule: small nucleolar RNA, 106 nt
Organism: Zingiber officinale
Lineage: Eukaryota; Viridiplantae; Streptophyta; Magnoliopsida; Zingiberales; Zingiberaceae
Source: RefSeq, a predicted model, not a curated record
AAAUCAUGAUGGGGAUACUGCAAUAGUAGUGCCUUAAGUCUUUCCCAAGCUCAAACAAUGAUUCUCCUUCCGAUUGUUUGAACUUUGUGAUUUGUCUUCUCAAUUU